GGUGUGUCCUAGCUCGGGAUUGUCAUUAGCCAAAGGCCAGAAGUUACCUUCCGCUGGUGGUCGUCACUACCACUCUGUUCCCUGCAACACACUUCGAACAAAUUGCCGUGCUGGCCCACGUGUCGGGCAUCGCUGAACGUCCGUCUGAUUCCGGUUUGUCUGGAUCCAUAUUAAGACGACAGGCAUUGGCACAAUUUCCCAGCAGGCGAUGUGACAUGUUCUGGCGACAGUCGCGGAUUUAUUUUCCCUCUAAUGAAACACAAUGGUGGAAAUGCAGAUGACCAGGAGGCCAGGAGGGGAGUAGCCCAGGGAUACAUACUGAGAGGAAGCAAGACUGCGGAGGAGAGAUUCCACUUCACGAAGGACUUGAUGUGGUCCAACAACACCAGCACCCAUGUUGACACAAUUGCUCCUUCCGUUAGCAUUGGGCAAUGGUACUGGAGCAAAGGGUCCGAUAGCAACAGGCUCAGAGACAUUUUCUACAGACACAGACACACAAACCCACACAGGAAUAUUUUAAAGGAAUAUUUUACUGAUCCAUUUACACGUUUUCUAUUAUUUCUAAUUGUUGUAUAGCCCAAAGAAACUUGCGAAUCAAAGUUUUGUUGGAUGGUAUAUAAUGUUUGCAUCCUUUAGAUGCAACUUAUUAUUGUCCAUUACCGGUUGCACAAAUUGUAACAAUGUAAAUGUGAGCAGUUGUUAAAAUCCAUGGAAGUGUUUUCUUGUGUUCAUUAAAUACUCAAUAAAC
Esox lucius (northern pike) is the source of this 748-nucleotide long non-coding RNA. Lineage: Eukaryota; Metazoa; Chordata; Actinopteri; Esociformes; Esocidae. The record is from Ensembl.